RNAcentral lists this ribosomal RNA (468 nucleotides) under uncultured bacterium. Its description in RNAcentral is "partial 16S ribosomal RNA". It matches the Rfam family "Bacterial small subunit ribosomal RNA", at positions 28 to 507 of the family's 1533-position model. The record is from RNAcentral.
GACGAACGCUGGCGGCGUGCCUAAUACAUGCAAGUCGAACGGAAAGGCCAUGCUUUUGCGGCUUUCUCGAGUGGCGAACGGGUGAGUAACACGUGAGUAACCCCCCCUUGUCUUUGGGAUAACUCCAGGAAACUGCGGCUAUUACAGGAUAGGAGCUCCUGCUGCACGUGGGGGGUUGGAAAGAUACGGUGGUUGGGGAUGGACUCGCGGGUUACCAGCCGGUUGGUGUGGUAGGGGCUUACCAAGGCUUUGAAGGGUAGGCGGCCUGAGAGGGUGACCGGCGACAUUGGGACUGAGGUAGGGCGCAGAAGCGUACGGGCGGCAGCAGUGGGGAGUAUUGCGGAGUGGGGGGACGCCUGAGGCAGAAGCGCCGGGUGCGGGAUGCCGGGCUUCGGGUGGUGAACCGCUUUGGCCGGUGACGAAGCGUGAGUGACGGUAAUGGGUAAGGAAGCCCCGGCUAACUACGUG